CGACGGGUGGCUGCAGUGGGGAAUAUUGCACAAUGGGCGCAAGCCUGAUGCAGCCAUGCCGCGUGUAUGAAGAAGGCCUUCGGGUUGUAAAGUACUUUCAGCGGGGAGGAAGGGAGUAAAGUUAAUACCUUUGCUCAUUGACGUUACCCGCAGAAGAAGCACCGGCUAACUCCGUGCCAGCAGCCGCGGUAAUACGGAGGGUGCAAGCGUUAAUCGGAAUUACUGGGCGUAAGGCGCACGCAGGCGGUUUGUUAAGUCAGAUGUGAAAUCCCCGGGCUCAACCUGGGAACUGCAUCUGAUACUGGCAAGCUUGAGUCUCGUAGAGGGGGGUAGAAUUCCAGGUGUAGCGGUGAAAUGCGUAGAGAUCUGGAGGAAUACCGGUGACGAAGGCGGCCCCCUGGACGAAGACUGACGCUCAGGUGCGAAAGCGUGGGGAGCAAACAGGAUUAGAUACCCCCGUAGUC
RNAcentral lists this ribosomal RNA (464 nucleotides) under uncultured bacterium. RNAcentral describes it as "partial 16S ribosomal RNA". It matches the Rfam family "Bacterial small subunit ribosomal RNA", at positions 339 to 795 of the family's 1533-position model. The record is from RNAcentral.